AGUGAACGCUGGCGGUAGGCCUAACACAUGCAAGUCGAACGGCAGCACAGUAAGAGCUUGCUCUUACGGGUGGCGAGUGGCGGACGGGUGAGGAAUACAUCGGAAUCUACUUUUUCGUGGGGGAUAACGUAGGGAAACUUACGCUAAUACCGCAUACGACCUACGGGUGAAAGCAGGGGAUCUUCGGACCUUGCGCGAUUGAAUGAGCCGAUGUCGGAUUAGCUAGUUGGCGGGGUAAAGGCCCACCAAGGCGGCGAUCCGUAGCUGGUCUGAGAGGCUGAUCGGCGACACUGGAACUGAGACACGGACCAGACUCCUACGGGAGGCAGCAGUGGGGAAUAUUGGACAAUAGGCGCAAGCCUGAUCCAGCCAUACCGCGUGGGUGAAGAAGGCCUUCGGGUUGUAAAGCCCUUUUGUUGGGAAAGAAAAGCAGCAGGUUAAGACCCCGCUGUUCUGACGGUACCCAAAGAAUAAGCACCGGCUAACUUCGUG
This 492-nucleotide ribosomal RNA is filed under the name uncultured bacterium. Its description in RNAcentral is "partial 16S ribosomal RNA". It matches the Rfam family "Bacterial small subunit ribosomal RNA", at positions 29 to 507 of the family's 1533-position model. The record is from RNAcentral.